UGCCUGCCGGCUGCACAAGAGGAAGCCCACUCACAGGGAAAAUGCUGACAGUCCUCCAGUCCUCUCCUUGAGGCCACACACCUUGGUCUGCCCCCCUGUAUGCCUCUGACACUCUCCGAGUCACCGUCUUUCCCCCAGAGCCCAAGAUGCUGAACUUGAUCCCACUACAUUGAUUGCAAAGUCUACUACCAUGUUGCCACCAUAGAUGGAACAGCGACAUGCUGUGGCCCCAAAGUCACCAUGACCGAGCUGACACUUACGUGGUCCCUGAAGAGGCACAUGUUGGACACCACACCUUUGGAUUUGGGCAAAGGUCAGACGAGUGAGCAUCAUCGUGUUUUAGCGACGAUGGCUGGAAGGUUGGAUUGGCUGUUUCGAAGCUGGGUGUUGACCUUUUGUCUUGGGAACUUCGGGUAACCUAAAGUUGGGAUAAGUGUCUUGCUUAAAUGGAAGCUUUGCUUAAAACCCCACUGUGGAGAAGAGUGAAUUUGUGUUUUGGGGUCCAUA
This is a long non-coding RNA of Hipposideros armiger (great roundleaf bat), 507 nucleotides long. RefSeq lists it as uncharacterized. NCBI's taxonomy places the organism in Eukaryota, Metazoa, Chordata, Mammalia, Chiroptera, Hipposideridae. The transcript has 3 exons. The record is from RefSeq and is a predicted model, not a curated record.